ACUUCAGGAAUAUAGGUUUAGGACAAGGGAUCGAGAGCCUCUGGGAGAAGAAGCCUUUGUAGGAGGAGGCUCAGAUUUAGGGGAGUCUGUCUUGGCCAUGCCUCAAGGCCUACAUGUCAAUAGUUUGUCAAGGGCUCAACCAACGGAAAGAUGUCAUCUCCUUCCAGAGACUGGAAAGAGCUGGGAGAGGGGCAAGAGAAGUGUUUCAGAUGACCAAGAUUUCAUCAGUGUGAGCCUGCUUCCCCUGGCACAGAUCACAACCCCUCUAUACCUUUGCAGACAGUUCUUUGCCAGCUCCCAGAGGAGUUGAUUGGGGUCCUGGAAAGAGGAGUAGUAGGCCACCUAUCUGAGGUGAGGACAUCAGAGGCAGAACAGCAACAGUAGUUCCUGGUAAGGAAUUCACAGAAUGACAGGAUUGAAAGUGAUCUCAGAGGCCACCUAAUCCAGCCUGUACGUGAAC
This is a non-coding RNA of Phascolarctos cinereus (koala), 460 nucleotides long. Lineage: Eukaryota; Metazoa; Chordata; Mammalia; Diprotodontia; Phascolarctidae. The record is from RefSeq and is a predicted model, not a curated record.